RNAcentral lists this ribosomal RNA (250 nucleotides) under uncultured prokaryote. RNAcentral's name for it is "partial 16S ribosomal RNA". It matches the Rfam family "Bacterial small subunit ribosomal RNA", at positions 524 to 773 of the family's 1533-position model. The record is from RNAcentral.
UACGUAGGGGGCGAGCGUUAUCCGGAAUUACUGGGUGUAAAGGGAGCGCAGACGGCAUGGCAAGUCUGAUGUGAAAGGCCGGGGCUCAACCCCGGGAGUGCAUUGGAAACUGUUAAGCUAGAGUGCCGGAGGGGUAAGCGGAAUUCCUAGUGUAGCGGUGAAAUGCGUAGAUAUUAGGAGGAACACCGGUGGCGAAGGCGGCUUACUGGACGGUAACUGACGUUGAGGCUCGAAAGCGUGGGGAGCAAAC